RNAcentral lists this ribosomal RNA (600 nucleotides) under Streptococcus thermophilus. Its description in RNAcentral is "bacterial SSU rRNA". It matches the Rfam family "Bacterial small subunit ribosomal RNA", at positions 499 to 1098 of the family's 1533-position model. Lineage: Bacteria; Bacillati; Bacillota; Bacilli; Lactobacillales; Streptococcaceae. The record is from RNAcentral.
AACUACGUGCCAGCAGCCGCGGUAAUACGUAGGUCCCGAGCGUUGUCCGGAUUUAUUGGGCGUAAAGCGAGCGCAGGCGGUUUGAUAAGUCUGAAGUUAAAGGCUGUGGCUCAACCAUAGUUCGCUUUGGAAACUGUCAAACUUGAGUGCAGAAGGGGAGAGUGGAAUUCCAUGUGUAGCGGUGAAAUGCGUAGAUAUAUGGAGGAACACCGGUGGCGAAAGCGGCUCUCUGGUCUGUAACUGACGCUGAGGCUCGAAAGCGUGGGGAGCGAACAGGAUUAGAUACCCUGGUAGUCCACGCCGUAAACGAUGAGUGCUAGGUGUUGGAUCCUUUCCGGGAUUCAGUGCCGCAGCUAACGCAUUAAGCACUCCGCCUGGGGAGUACGACCGCAAGGUUGAAACUCAAAGGAAUUGACGGGGGCCCGCACAAGCGGUGGAGCAUGUGGUUUAAUUCGAAGCAACGCGAAGAACCUUACCAGGUCUUGACAUCCCGAUGCUAUUUCUAGAGAUAGAAAGUUACUUCGGUACAUCGGUGACAGGUGGUGCAUGGGUGUCGUCAGCUCCUGUCCUGAGAUGUUGGGUUAAGUCCCGCAACGAGCG